AUUGAACGCUGGCGGCAGGCCUAACACAUGCAAGUCGAACGGUAACAGAAAGCAGCUUGCUGCUUUGCUGACGGGUGGCGGACGGGUGAGUAAUGUCUGGGAAACUGCCUGAUGGAGGGGGAUAACUACUGGAAACGGUAGCUAAUACCGCAUAACGUCGCAAGACCAAAGAGGGGGACCUUCGGGCCUCUUGCCAUCGGAUGUGCCCAGAUGGGAUUAGCUAGUAGGUGGGGUAACGGCUCACCUAGGCGACGAUCCCUAGCUGGUCUGAGAGGAUGACCAGCCACACUGGAACUGAGACACGGUCCAGACUCCUACGGGAGGCAGCAGUGGGGAAUAUUGCACAAUGGGCGCAAGCCUGAUGCAGCCAUGCCGCGUGUAUGAAGAAGGCCUUCGGGUUGUAAAGUACUUUCAGCGGGGAGGAAGGGAGUAAAGUUAAUACCUUUGCUCAUUGACGUUACCCGCAGAAGAAGCACCGGCUAACUCCGUG
RNAcentral lists this ribosomal RNA (490 nucleotides) under uncultured bacterium. RNAcentral's name for it is "partial 16S ribosomal RNA". It matches the Rfam family "Bacterial small subunit ribosomal RNA", at positions 30 to 507 of the family's 1533-position model. The record is from RNAcentral.